UUGCCUAAGGAAAAUAUGAAUUGUACAGAUUUCUACAGUAGACUUUUUUCUCCCCCUUGCUUUACAGGUGUUUCAUCUUUUCGGUAAAAGCCAUCAGUUCUCUUCAGGGAAUUCCAGCGAGCUGAGUAUACCACAAAACGCCCAGGAAGACCCUGAUGCCAUCAGGUCUGGAAUGGGUACUGCCAUCAUAGUACUUGAAUGCUCAGGUGCUCUGUCUCAGAUGUUCCCAAGUCCACAAAGGAAAAGCACCUACCUUCCCGAUCCUUCUGGCCAUGGAAGCAGAUCUGGGCACAAGAUCUUCUGAAGUUUUAUCUUCUGGUUUCUGAGACUGCUACAGACUGCUUAAGACAAGGUAUUGUUCUUUCCUACUCUUUUUGUUUAAAUCCAUGGGCCAGCUGGGAUUCACUCGAUGGCUGUAAAAGGUUACUCAUGUAUUUACAAGGCUGAAAAAUCAGUUAGUAAG
RNAcentral lists this long non-coding RNA (463 nucleotides) under Numida meleagris (helmeted guineafowl). RNAcentral's name for it is "lncRNA (ENSNMEG00000020021.1)". Lineage: Eukaryota; Metazoa; Chordata; Aves; Galliformes; Numididae. The record is from RNAcentral.